Molecule: long non-coding RNA, 396 nt
Organism: Spinacia oleracea (spinach)
Lineage: Eukaryota; Viridiplantae; Streptophyta; Magnoliopsida; Caryophyllales; Amaranthaceae
Exons: 3
Source: RefSeq, a predicted model, not a curated record
ACUUUGAUUUUCUUGAUUUGGUAAAUACUAUCAGUCAAGUGCUAGGACGGUGAGGAAAGAUAAGCCACGUGGGCGUCAUCAUGGUCUCACUCAACAGAAGAGGCAAGAGAUAAAGGAAGCUUUUGAACUGUUUGACACUGAUGGCUCAGGAACUAUUGAUGCUAAGGAGUUGAAUGUUGCUAUGAGGGCUCUGGGUUUUGAGAUGACCGAAGAGGUAUAAAAUCUGUCAUUUUGUUGGUUUUUUGUUGAUUACGAUUGAAAUAUUUCUUCUCUGAAUACUUGCAAAAAGAUAACCUAUGUUCCUUCCACUAUUCUUUUUCUUCUCUGGGUUCUAAGACACUCAGACAAGGGUGUGGCCUCCUUAACUGACACUUCAAUAUUUACCCAGAGUCUCAU